UACGUAGGGGGCUAGCGUUGUCCGGAAUCAUUGGGCGUAAAGCGCGUGUAGGCGGUCCGGUAAGUCCGCUGUGAAAGUCGGGGGCUCAACCCUCGGAUGCCGGUGGAUACUGUCGGGCUUGAGUACGGAAGAGGCGAGUGGAAUUCCCGGUGUAGCGGUGAAAUGCGCAGAUAUCGGGAGGAACACCAGUAGCGAAGGCGGCUCGCUGGGCCAUACCUGACGCUGAGACGCGAAAGCGUGGGGAGCAAACAGG
This 253-nucleotide ribosomal RNA is filed under the name uncultured bacterium. RNAcentral describes it as "partial 16S ribosomal RNA". It matches the Rfam family "Bacterial small subunit ribosomal RNA", at positions 524 to 776 of the family's 1533-position model. The record is from RNAcentral.